This 513-nucleotide ribosomal RNA is filed under the name uncultured bacterium. RNAcentral describes it as "bacterial SSU rRNA". It matches the Rfam family "Bacterial small subunit ribosomal RNA", at positions 8 to 526 of the family's 1533-position model. The record is from RNAcentral.
AGAGUUUGAUCAUGGCUCAGGACGAACGCUGGCGGCGUGCCUAACACAUGCAAGUCGAACGGGACCGGGGGCAACUUCGGUUCAGUGGCGGACGGGUGCGUAACACGUGAGGAACAUGACCUUCGGCGGGGGAUAGCCGGCCCAACGGCCGGGUAAUACCGCGUACGACCAUUGGAGGACAUCCUUUGAUGGUGAAAGCAGCAAUGCGCCGAUGGAGUGCCUCGCGGCCUAUCAGCUAGUUGGUGGGGUAACGGCUCACCAAGGCGACGACGGGUAGCUGGUCUGAGAGGAUGGCCAGCCACAUUGGGACUGAGACACGGCCCAGACUCCUACGGGAGGCAGCAGUGGGGAAUAUUGCGCAAUGGACGAAAGUCUGACGCAGCGACGCCGCGUGUGGGAUGACGGUCUUCGGAUUGUAAACCACUGUCGGGAGGGACGAAUACGCCGCAAGGCGGGUGACGGUACCUCCAAAGGAAGCACCGGCUAACUCCGUGCCAGCAGCGGCGGUAAUAC